RNAcentral lists this ribosomal RNA (465 nucleotides) under uncultured bacterium. RNAcentral's name for it is "partial 16S ribosomal RNA". It matches the Rfam family "Bacterial small subunit ribosomal RNA", at positions 338 to 795 of the family's 1533-position model. The record is from RNAcentral.
CCUACGGGGGGCAGCAGUGGGGAAUAUUGCGCAAUGGGCGAAAGCCUGACGCAGCGACGCCGCGUGAGGGAUGAAGGUCUUCGGAUCGUAAACCUCUGUCAGCAGGGAAGAACGGUCACUGUGCUAAUCAGCAGUGAAUUGACGGUACCUGCAAAGGAAGCACCGGCUAACUCCGUGCCAGCAGCCGCGGUAAUACGGAGGGUGCGAGCGUUAAUCGGAAUUACUGGGCGUAAAGCGAUCGUAGGCGGUAUGUCAAGUCAAGGGUGAAAUCCCCGCGCUCAACGUGGGAACUGCCUUUGAAACUGGCAAACUGGAGUGUGUGAGAGGAUAGUGGAAUUCCAGGUGUAGGAGUGAAAUGCGUAGAUAUCUGGAAGAACAUCAGUUGCGAAGGCGACUAUCUGGCACAUAACUGACGCUGAGGAGCGAAAGCGUGGGUAGCAAACAGGAUUAGAUACCCCAGUAGUC